UGGCGGCGAACGGCUCAGUAACACGUAGUCAACCUGCCCUCGGGAUGAGAACAAUCUCGGGAAACUGAGGCUAAUUCUCGAUAGGUCAAGAUUCCUGGAAUGGGUUUUGGCUUAAAGGGGAUAACAGCACCUUGUUAUUUCGCCCGAGGAUGGGACUGCGGCCGAUCAGGCUGUUGGUGGGGUAAAGGCUCACCAAACCAGUAACCGGUACGGGCUUUGAGAGAAGGAGCCCGGAGAUGGACACUGAGACAAGGGUCCAGGUCCUACGGGGCGCAGCAGGCGCGAAACCUUCGCAAUGUGCGAAAGCACGACGAGGUUAUUCCGAGUGAUUUCCGCUGAGGAAAUCUUUUCUCAGAUCUAAAAUGUCUGGGGAAUAAGGGGAGGGCAAGUCUGGUGUCAGCCGCCGCGGUAAUACCAGCUCCUCGAGUGGUCAGGGCGUUUAUUGGGCCUAAAGCAUCCGUAGCCGGCUCAGUUGGUCUCCUGUUAAAUCCAACGGCUUAACCGUUGGUCUGCAGGAGAUACCGCUGGGCUAGGAGGCGGGAGAGGCGGACGGUACUCCGAGGGUAGGGGUAAAAUCCUUUGAUCCCCGGAAGACCACCAG
RNAcentral lists this ribosomal RNA (601 nucleotides) under uncultured archaeon. Its description in RNAcentral is "bacterial SSU rRNA". It matches the Rfam family "Archaeal small subunit ribosomal RNA", at positions 76 to 663 of the family's 1478-position model. The record is from RNAcentral.